This 75-nucleotide transfer RNA is filed under the name Nanobdellota archaeon. RNAcentral describes it as "tRNA-Glu". It matches the Rfam family "tRNA". From Rfam's summary of the family: Transfer RNA (tRNA) molecules are approximately 80 nucleotides in length. The record is from RNAcentral. Lineage: Archaea; Nanobdellati; Nanobdellota.
GCUCCUGUAGUGUAGCCCGGUCAAUCACCAUGGGUUCUCAGCCCGUUAACCUGAGUUCAAAUCUCAGCAGGAGCG